Molecule: long non-coding RNA, 2067 nt
Filed under: Sus scrofa (pig)
Lineage: Eukaryota; Metazoa; Chordata; Mammalia; Artiodactyla; Suidae
Description: lncRNA (ENSSSCG00030040248.1)
Source: RNAcentral
GGAAUCUCAACUCCUGUGCUACCCUCCUCCAGCCUCAACCCCUGUUUCCUGACCCCCAAGUGGUUCUGCGUUCCUGUUUUAGCAACACCUCCAUGGCAGCUGAAACUUUAACGCUUACUCAUCACUCUGGUUUCUUCAUUCCUGGCCCUGGGGAUUUCACUUAAUUUCUUCUUGGUUUGAUCGUAUGUAUUUGAACGGAUGUGCUUGUAUUUUCUUCAGGAUUUUAGGUGAUUUUUGGUGGUAGCAGAGAAGACUUUUUCCCUCCUGUAGGUAUAGAUUCAUAAUUUAUAUAAUCUAAUUAGCUACUAUCAAAUCAUCUACAUUUGUAAUUUUUAGGUCUUUCUUCCUUAAAUUGGUAUUGUUUUCUUGCCGCCCCUCUUUAUUUUUUCUUUUUUUUUGCUUUUUAGGGCCACACUCAUGGCAUGUGGCAGUUCCCAGGAUAGGGGUCUAACUGGAGCUACAGCUGCCAGCCACAGCCACAGCAGUGCCAGAUCCAAGCUGCAUCUGCGACCUACACCGCAGCUCAUGGCAAUGCUGGAUCCUUAACCCACUGAGCAAGGCCAGGGAUUGGACCUGAAACCUCAUGGUUCCUAGUUGGAUUUGUUCCCGCUGAGCCAUGAUGGGAAGUCCUCUUGCCUUCUUCUUUUUACACUAAUUAUUUUACGUCACCUCUGUUAAGCCUCAAAAGCUAGCUAACUGAAGUUGUUUCAGGCUAAUGUCCUUUCACCACUCAACUUUAUAACUGACACUCAAAUGCAUUACCCUAAGUGAAAGAAGCCAAGGGCUAUACAUUCUAUAAUUUCACUUAGAUGACAUUCUGAAAAAGGCAAAAUGAUAGAAACAGCAAAGUGAUCAGUGGUUGUCGGAGGCUGGGGGUAGGAAAGGUUAUUAAAAGGGUACCAGAGAAUUUUCUCAAACGGCUCAACAUCUUGAUCAAGAGGGAUGGCUAUCUGGACACCCAGAGAUGUGAGAGGACCAGGUGGGUGGAUUUGUCAAGGAAAUUCAGUCAGGGGGGCAGUUUGGAGGGAUGGAGUGUUGCAGUUUCAAACUAUUGCAUUUAGAAUGGACAAGCAAUGAGGUCCUGCUGUAUGGCGCAGGGAGCUGUAUCCAAUCACUUGUGAUAGAACAUGACAGUAAUGAUGUAAGAAAAAGAAUGUGUAUAUAUGUAUAACUUGGUCACUUUGCUGUACAGCAGAAAUUGACAGAACACUGUAAAUCAAGUGUAAUAAUAAUAAAAAAAGAGAACUGACCCUUCAAAUAGCAAAUGCAAAGCCUUGUGUUAGACAAAAAUAAUUAUACCUGUGUGUUCUUCUAAAGUAUGAAUUUCAUCUAAAUAAAUUCACAAGUCUUUCAAAAUAAUCCACUAAAAACUUUAAUGUAUUCAUUCCAUGAGUUCCUCAUAUAAGCUGUCUGCUGUUUAUCUAAUGAAAGCACUGGGAUUAAAGGCAUUUUUUUAUAAAAAGUUUUUCUAAUUUUUCCCAUAAUUGAGUGUCCAAAAUUAAACAUGAAAACAGUAAAAAGGAAGACUUUAACACUAAAUUUCCCAUAGACAGAAUUUUGUACUGACAAAUUACAAUUCAUUUAAUCAAAGCAGUUCCAGAUACCCUUUCCCCCUAACAAUGCUUGAAAUGUGAUGCUUACAAUCAGAGGGGAGUGACUCAAAUUGCUUCCCAACUUUCAACGAUUUACUAACAGCUUGGGUUGCAGUAAAAGACCUGUGAAUAACUUAAGAAUCCCAGACCUUCACAUGUCAUCAAAUUUCAAAAUCAACAAAUAAAGCAAUUUCAACAAGAUCCAAUGAGAGAAAAGAAAUUAAAUAAACAGAGUAUAUAUAUCCCAACUGAUAUAUGUACUUAGUUUCCCAAUAAACCUCAAGGGAAAAAGAGGCAGACAAAAAAUUGGAAAGAUCAGUUUUAUCUAGUUCAAGGGGUGUCUCCAAUGUUAUUUAGAUUAGAAAUGACUUUGUUAUAUUGCACUUAAGAAAAGCUGUUUUGCUGAUGCUAAAACAUUUCUCGGAAACUGGUUAGAAGAAGAGUGACCACAAUGAAUUUCAGGAUUUACAACUCU